This 442-nucleotide ribosomal RNA is filed under the name uncultured bacterium. RNAcentral's name for it is "partial 16S ribosomal RNA". It matches the Rfam family "Bacterial small subunit ribosomal RNA", at positions 338 to 795 of the family's 1533-position model. The record is from RNAcentral.
CCUACGGGAGGCAGCAGUGGGGAAUAUUGGGCAAUGGGCACAAGCCUGACCCAGCAACGCCGCGUGAAGGAAGAAGGCUUUCGGGUUGUAAACUUCUUUUGACAGGGAAGAGUAGAAGACGGUACCUGUCGAAUAAGCCACGGCUAACUACGUGCCAGCAGCCGCGGUAAUACGUAGGUGGCAAGCGUUGUCCGGAUUUACUGGGUGUAAAGGGCGUGUAGCCGGGUUGACAAGUCAGAUGUGAAAUCCUGGGGCUUAACCGCAGAACUGCAUUUGAAACUGUUGAUCUUGAGUACUGGAGAGGCAGACGGAAUUCCUAGUGUAGCGGUGAAAUGCGUAGAUAUUAGGAGGAACACCAGUGGCGAAGGCGGCCUACUGGACGGUGACUGACGCUGAGGCUCGAAAGCGUGGGGAGCAAACAGGAUUAGAUACCCCAGUAGUC